UACAGAGGUCCCAAGCGUUGUUCGGAUUCACUGGGCGUAAAGGGUGCGUAGGUGGCUUGGUAAGUUUGAUGUGAAAUCUCCGGGCUUAACCCGGAAAUGGCAUUGAAUACUAUUGAGCUGGAGGUUUGGAGGGGGGACUGGAAUUCUCGGUGUAGCAGUGAAAUGCGUAGAUAUCGAGAGGAACACCAGUGGCGAAGGCGAGUCCCUGGACAACACCUGACACUGAGGCACGAAAGCCGGGGGAGCAAACAGG
This 253-nucleotide ribosomal RNA is filed under the name uncultured bacterium. Its description in RNAcentral is "partial 16S ribosomal RNA". It matches the Rfam family "Bacterial small subunit ribosomal RNA", at positions 524 to 776 of the family's 1533-position model. The record is from RNAcentral.